GAUGAACGCUAGCGACAGGCUUAACACAUGCAAGUCGAGGGGCAGCACGGUGUAGCAAUACAUUGGUGGCGACCGGCGCACGGGUGGGUAACGCGUAUGCAACCUACCUAUCAGAGGGGAAUAACCCGGCGAAAGUCGGACUAAUACCGCAUAAAACAGGGGUUCCACAUGGAAAUAUUUGUUAAAGAUUUAUCGCUGAUAGAUGGGCAUGCGUUCCAUUAGAAAGUUGGUGAGAUAACGGCUCACCAAGUCCACGAUGGAUAGGGGGUCUGAGAGGAAGGUCCCCCACACUGGUACUGAGACACGGACCAGACUCCUACGGGAGGCAGCAGUGAGGAAUAUUGGUCAAUGGGCGAGAGCCUGAACCAGCCAAGUCGCGUGAAGGAUGAAGGAUCUAUGGUUUGUAAACUUCUUUUAUAUGGGAAUAAAGUGAGGAACGUGUUCCUUUUUGUAUGUACCAUAUGAAUAAGCAUCGGCUAACUCCGUGCCAGCAGCCGCCGUAA
Molecule: ribosomal RNA, 503 nt
Filed under: uncultured bacterium
Lineage: Bacteria
Description: partial 16S ribosomal RNA
Rfam family: Bacterial small subunit ribosomal RNA
Source: RNAcentral